Long non-coding RNA from Centropristis striata (black sea bass), 724 nucleotides. RefSeq lists it as uncharacterized. The record is from RefSeq and is a predicted model, not a curated record. NCBI's taxonomy places the organism in Eukaryota, Metazoa, Chordata, Actinopteri, Perciformes, Serranidae. The transcript has 3 exons.
GGCGAAGGCUGGCUUGACCUCAGUACAACUUUUGAGAGAAAUGCUCAGAACGAGCUCCUGUUGACGCUCCUGGUCGUCAAUAAUAUGUUGAUCAAUAACUUCCGAGAAGGCGAGCCUUGAUGCGCUUCUACCAUGAUCUGCUUCUACCAAGAAGGACACGCCUUAUGAGAUACACACCUUGUAUGAUGAGGAAGUCUCAGCUCUGGUGAUGUUCUCCAACAUCCACAAGAUGUCACUAGUAGACCAGAAAACACAAACUGAGAUGAAAUCCAGACUCACAAAAUGACUCCAAGUGCCUGGUGCAGGUGUUCCUCCCUGCCAGAGGAGGUGCUGCUUCUUUUCUUUGCCUCUCCUUUCUGUUUCCCAGGUGGUGGUGGUUGGAGGCGGCUGAUUGAACAUCUUUAAUAGGACUGCUGCUGAGGACGCCUCUCUCUCUCUCUCGGCCCUUUGUCUGACUCCCAGCCACACGCACUAGUGGGAAAUGUUUGUCGACUGUUGUCAGUAGUGGUUGUAAUCUUUGUUAUCUGUUGUAUUAUUUAUAACAAAGAUUCUUUAAGUUAAUUGUUGCAGUCCUGGUAGGUAGGGGUGGGUAACCUUUUGUUUUAUGAAUAUUUUCUCCUGUUUUUGUUAGGGAGUUCAGGUAAGAAACCUGUAUUUUAUUUUACGCGUCUUUAUUUUCAGGUCAGUUAGAUUUAAAAUUAGAAAUGUUUUGUUUGUUGUUUUG